Molecule: non-coding RNA, 7900 nt
Organism: Equus caballus (horse)
Lineage: Eukaryota; Metazoa; Chordata; Mammalia; Perissodactyla; Equidae
Source: RefSeq, a predicted model, not a curated record
UUUCCCAAUGGCUACUGCUGAAGGGUGUCUCACGGUCAUAAUAAGAACCACAGGGGCCGGGCCAGCCAGCACACUGGAUACUGGUGGGCAGACACAACAGCCAUGCAGGUGUAUUUCCUACGGUGGUGGUCGGAGAUGACAGUCUGAGUCCUUGACUUGCCAUAAUCCACCUCGCGUUAGUGCUCUUGCCCGUCCUGAGCCAUUCAGGCACCUGGCACGGCAAAGCUUCACCACCUCCGCCCCAUUGCACUUUGUUGUCUCAACGUUUACCUGCAUGUAUGUCAUAAACCCACAAGAUGUUGGAGUUGUUGCUUUAGACCAUAGGAACUGCGUGAAGAUCCCUGGACUCUCCGCGUAGAUGACGAGGCCUGCACAAUAAGGACGGUUUUGCUUCUUGCUGUCCACCCUGAAAACCUGUUCUUUUUUCUUUGCCUUAUUUGACUGGCCAAGUCCUCUGGUGAAAGGAGCAGACGUCGUGGAGCCGCCGACUCCCCCUGGCGGGGAGCUGCAGUUUCUCGCCUUCAGAUCCACACCAGCCCUGGGUUUCCCACAGCCCCUUCCCCAGGUGAGGGAGUUCCUUUCCAGUACUAGUUUGAUCGUGAAUUGAGCCGAAAUUUGUCAAAUGGCUUUUCUGUGUCUAUUGAGAUGAACGCACAGUUUUUCCCUCGUUUUGGUCUUUUAAUACGGUGAGUUACGUUGAUUUAUUUCCAAACGUCAUCACCUUUCCGCUCCGUGCAUAAAGCCCGCUCGCUCGUGCUCCUUCCUGUCUCAGGGUUGCUGGCUCAGAGGCUGGCCUUGGCUUGGAGGGGGAAGUGGGCCCUGAAGGGGCAGCAGGGCGGGUCUGUCUUGGAGGCGGAGGGGAGGGUGCCCUCAUGACUCCCCCGACAUGCUUUGCCAGGAGUAAUGCAACCCUUCAUGAGGGCUCUGGGCCUGCCCCCAGGGUGCCUUUGUCUGCCUGUGGCGGCCAGCAUCGCCCACCUGCCAGGCUAUCAGCAGGCACGGGGCACCGAGGAGAGCCCGGUUACCGCCCCAUCUUCCUACGGAUUUCCUCUCUUCACCAGGAUUCAGAGGCAACCCCAGGUCGUCAAUCAGCCCUGUCAACAAAGCGCUUCUUCUGCUGGCUGUUCUACUGGCAGGAGGACCCCACAACAUCCAGAGGGCAGCACAGAUUUCCGUGUAGUAGAACCCUUCCCGGGCCCCCGGGGACCCCCCAUCCUGCGCCAGGCCUUCUGUUGCAGCAGACGGUAACGUUAUGGAGAACAGGGCUCUGGAAAUGGGGUGAGGGGAGCGCUCGUUCCUGGGCCCACACGCUGGUCUUAGGAUCACAGUGUCACGCGGCAGCCACUUUGACGGGAACCAGCCACACCUGCUCAGGGCCAUCCGCACUCCAGUGUCUGGGCUUCCCUUUGAGGGUCGUGCUCGGUCUCCACAGCUGCCAAGCGAGGAGGGUGCGAUGUGAACAGUGGACUCCUUGUCCGUGUGCCCAACAUCAUUCCUCGUGUUCUGGGGUGAACUAUGUCCCCAGAAGGACGUGCUCAAUCCCACCCCCGGAACCUGUGACUGUGACAUUAUUUGUGGAUAGGGCCGUGCACAUGGAAUCAGGUUAAGAUGAGGUCGGACUGGAUUAGGGUGGGCCCCAAAUCCAGUAUGACUGUGUCCUUGUAAGAAGAGGGAAGUUGGGACACAGAGACAUGCAGAGAGGGGAGACCAUGUGAACAUGGGGCACAGAGUGGGGUGAUGCUGCCGCAAAGCGAGGAGCGCCGAGGCGCGCCGGCACCCCCGGGGGCUGGAAGGAGCCGCUGAGGAGCGUCCCCGGGCCCUCAGAGAGCCCGGCCUCCUGGCGCCCUGAUUUUUGGAGCUCCAGCUCCAGAGCUGUGAGCACACGAGCUUCUUUUGUUGUGAGUAGGGCAAAUGCACGGAGUUCCUUCCAGCAGCCCUGGGACACUCAGGUCUGUGGGUGUGGAGUUUGUCCCUUUGUCUGAGGUGAUAUCACAGGAGAUUCCUGGCAGCACAUCGCUCUGUGAUUCUCAGAGAAAGGUGCCGAUCGAGGCCCUUGGGGCAAAAAAGCAAACCCGCACCUGGCACAGGCAGCAAUCCCAGCAGGACCAAGACCGCCCCCCAAGGCGGGACUGGCACAAACCCUCCCCACGGGCGGCUGGUGGCCUCCGUGCAGGACGGCGCUCUGCGGGCGGCUCCAAUCUCGGUGCCAAGAUGUGGGGGUCUCAGCAGCAGCAGCAGCAGCAGCAGCCUUGGUGGGGGCGUCCUGCUCCUGGACCCCCGCGCAGCCUCCCUCCCACCACCAUGGCCGCUGUGUCCGCGAGCUCCCGGUGGCGGCACUGGCUCACAGAGGGCAGCGCUUUGCAGCCAGAGUCCGGGGCGGUAACUAUCCCAUCCACCCGCGUCAGGGUGGCGGUCCAGGGACCUACCCCACAGAGAGCCACCGAGAGGGACGGUAGAACAUGGCGACCCUGAGGGCAAAGCGGAUGGUCAGCCACCAGAGCACUGUCCACCGUUCCCGGCUCCCCAUUCCCAGCUCCCCAUUCGUGCCGCGGUUUGCCCCAGCAGAGGAGGUCUAGACGGUAAAUGGGAGGCUGAGUGCAGUCACCCCAAGAAAAAGUCGCAGCCCCUCACCCGGGUUCAGGACCUCAGCCAGUUUUCAGACCUGGGACUCAUGGGCUGGGGGUGCUGGGUCCCCGCAAGAAAGGAACUCACCACAACAGGAGCACACGGGUAGGGACCCCAGCCCUUCCCCCAGAGGUGCGCAGGCUUUAGCCAAGGGGACUGUCCACGGAGGCAAGGGGGCACCAGAUGCUUCAGGAACUGUGGGAUGAGGGUGUGAGCUGUCAUUCAUGUCCCGAGACCUGAAAGACUGUCAUAACCCCCACUAGCGCGGGGCCUGUGGGGGCUGCCAGGAGCUCAGCUGAGCUGCAGAGAGAGCUGAGCUGUCAGGGGGUCGGAGGAGCCCAAGAGCCAGAGCAGAAAUGGAGGGAAGGGUGGGUCUUCAGCGCUUCCUGUGACAGUGUGAGCCACAGGCUAGAAGUGGAGGGAAGCGCCACCUCCCCCUGUUCCGUUUCCCUGCAUGGAACAGUGUGGAAUAGCAUGUCUGACUGACGUGGGCGUCGGGGAUCAUCUCCCCAUGAGGGAACCCUGAGCAAGGGCUCCUGCAGUUUUAGGACCCAGGGGUUGGGGAGAGGCUGAGGGGAGGCCAGUGGCACCUGGGCUGGGCCUGCAGGUGUGUGUCGGGGCAUAGUGGCUGGGGGCCUGCAUCCUUGACUCCCCUGAGAGGCUGCAGUGCUCCACCAAGCCCCACGUCAGCUGUGGGGACACUUGGCCCUGAGGCCCGCCUGCUGGGAGAGCCUUUGUAGCUGAAAGCACACACAGGGGUUCCGCCUGCAGCCGGACGACCCGACUCCACUCCUCGGUUUCUUGGGACGUGAGUGAGACACAGGCUGUCCAUCACAGAGCCGAAUGGCUGGGACUUUGAGGGGCUGGGACAGUGACCAGGCAAGCAGUCAGAGGCAUCAGUGGACCAAGUCCAGGAUCAAGGUCACUCCCAGCAUGCCAAUGGGGCCAGCCUGGUGGGCGGACCCCAACUGUGCAUCUCAUCAUGACCAUGGCAGGGAGAGAUGCCGCUGAGCGCACCGGGUCUACCUCGGAGAACUCCGCCUGCGUCGUCCUCACCUGUGCCAGGAAGCAGCUCAGAUGACCAGCUCUGGCCAGUGACUCAAGGCUGAGCCCAUGGCACCAGGGCUGGGCAGAGUCCUGACGGCCAGGGCACACGGAAAAAACACAGUCCCACGGGGCUCGUGGGGUCCCCUAGACACACAGAGUCUGUGAUGUCAGGACAUGAAAUGGACCGGCAGGGUCACAGGGCUCCCAGUGAGGCCUUCGUCAUGGGCCCCUGCCCUGGGGCCUCCCACCAGGCCCCCCUGUCAGCCCCGCUUGACCCAGGCUCACCAGCCACUCAGUGCUGCUGCUCGGAAAGGCAGCUCCGGAGUGUUUCGUCCUGCGUGGGUUUGGUCUGUUUGUUUAGGAGGAGGAGGAGCUUCCAGGAGCAAGUCUGGAUACAGCCCGUGAGUGUCCCCUCCCGGCCUCCCCCAGCGCCAGGCCUAGUGCUGUCAUCAGUGUGUCCCCUUCGGUCGUCAAGCUCCACAUUACUAAGAGAACUGCUUGCUCUCUUCAUCUCGAACUUCCGUCACCCAAGGACGGAGCAUUUAGCAGAAACACAUUUCUAUGUGAAUCCGUCCUGUUCCAGAAUUGAUCAGCACCAAAUCCUGAAUUUCUAAACUAUUCUCAAAUGGGUUCACAUAGCCGCUUAAUAGCCGUCUUAGUUUCCCAUCUGUUUGAGUCUUAAGAAACGGGCAGAGGGGCAGAAGGCCCUUGCAGGGUCUCCCACGGAGGCCGCGGCGUCAGUGCCUGGAAGGAAGGGUGCCGGCCAAUGGCAGGGUGGAUGGUGCGGUCAGUGAGAAGUGCCCGUCGCCGCGCAGUCACAUGAGACUCAGACGGCUGCCCAAGAUGUGCGGUCCGGUGGGGGUCCUCUUGUCCCCCUCGUCGGCUGCCUGGGCCUGUCCUUUAAUUGUCCGCUGGCUCGCUCCAGCACCCUGUGGCCUGAGGGUGAAAUGGGGCCUGGAGAGUCCCCUGCACGUCCAGGAUGGGUCCACUGAUGCACAGCCUGGGCUGCGAACCCAGUGCUGUCGUCCGACGCAAUGAGCUCGGGACCCAAACAGGAACCGAAGAUGGUUGUGCGGGGCCUGGACGGUGUGGCCGGGUCAGCAGGAUGCACAGGGCCACACCUGGAGCGAGUGUCAAUGCCACCAGGACCCAGUGGACGCCCUGGCAGAGCCAGAAGCCCAGGGGAUCCACCUGCAGGGACCUUUCCCCAGCGGUGUCUGGCCUCAGCGGGGUCUGGCAGGCCGCUGUCUUUCCCUGCUGUUCCUGUCUCGGGACGAAGGGGGCAGUCAUGUGCAGGCCCAGGCAGGGACGGGGCUGACACCCAUGGGCUGGCCUCUCGGGGAGCAAGAACCACAGGCCGGGCCCUGCCCGCUCGGAGUGAGAGCUCUUUCCUCUCAGUGUUCAGCUGACAAGUGGGGGCUGCAGAGCGGCCUCUUUGGGGCGCAGCCGUUUGGGUAAGAGAAUGCUCACCGGGAGCAGAGCUGAGUUUUACCAAAUGCCCGGUCCCUCAAGGGACUCACUGUCUGUGCCACCUGAGGCUGGCCAGUGGCGGCUCACAGCCAUGAGCCAGGUGGGCUUGCCCUCCUCCCAUGCCCGAGAAGGCCCGAACUCCCGCAGUUCCUGUCCGGGCUCGGGACGAAGGCCACACACCAACACCAUGAGCACACUCAGCUUGGGGACCAUGACAGUGGCAGUUGCCGGGACCCAAGGGACCCACCCAUCGCCGGGCUGGGGCAGAGGCGGGGUGGUGGGGCCCCGUCCUGGUGCCAGGGACCGUGGAAGCUCAGGCACCCGUGUGCCGGGUCUAAGGAGGCCCAGGUGGACCUCCUCCCCUCCCCGUAGCGCCCUGCCCUCCCCGCCUGCUUCUGAGCCUUCUGCAUCCUCACGUCCCCAGCCACUCCCAUCGCCUCCAGGAACCAGCUUCCCAGCAGCUCCUUCACAAGCGAGAUCAGAAACGAGGCCGGGAGGGCAGCUGGAAGUCGAGCGAUCGCUGCCCAGUGUGCCCGCUGACGUCCCUGGCCCAGUGCCAGAGAAAGAGUGGUCACCUGGGAGGAUGGCCACUUCUUGUGUGGGGGUGCUGACAGCGGUGUGACCUGAGCACGUCCCCCUCUGUGUGGCCAGGACAGCGUGCGAUCAGCCCUGCUCCAGAUGAACCGGCCCCGCUCCUCCUGGGACAGCCAUGCCUGCCACCUACCCCCACCCCCGCCCAGGCCCCUUUCUCACACCUGCAUCCAGCACCACCAUCCUUCCGAUUGUCGGCUUUGUGGGUUCCACAGCCCCAGCUUUAUGUUCAACAUGAUGACAGCAUGAAUGGACAGCUGAGGAAACACAUGAUGCAGUGAAUGAACCUCUUCAGUCCCAUACACCCCGGGCCCACCAACCCCAUGGAGGCUGUGCCUGGCUAGGCGGAUCCCUAGAACGUGCCUCAGGCAAGACAGGGAGCAGGGACAGUCCUGCUGGUUGGAUCACCAGGUGGACUGGUGGCCACUGGUGGAGGUGGCGGGCAGCAGUCACGGCGGGGUCAGGGACGGCCUUUCCCAACCACUAGCCACACCUUCUGUCUUCCCACUCACCUGCCUCUGGCUGGGGCCCUGAGGGCAGGGCCGGGUGGCAGCACCUGCCUGCCCAGAUCCGGCCGCCCCUGCCUGCUCAUCGCAGGUGCUCCAAGGCUGUGACUGAGCAAACAAAGUCAGGAAGGACCAGAGAAAGAAGGAACCGGGGGAAGACUGGACUGACGGGAUACAGUGCGGAAGGCUAUGCAAACGCCUGACGCCCAGCUGAGGGCACCUUUGGGGACAGCUGUGGAGGACAGGGGACGGGGAGGGUCAGGGGACAGGGCAGUGUUUCCUGCCCACACCUGGGCGCAGAUCGGGCCCUUAGAACUGACUGGUCCCAGGUGAGGUCAUGAGGGGGUGACGGCACCCCCAGAGGGGCGAGGCCCCACCCUGGACCACUGCCCCAGCCCUCAGGGCGCGGACUUCAUGCUGCGUCGUCAGCUGCGUGCUGUCUGGUGACAAAGAUCUGUGCCUGACCAACCUCUAGUCAUCUCCGGAACCUCCUCCGGGGCCCAGCUGUGCCCUUCCUUGUAAAUCCAGUUUUAGAGAGAACCCCAGCCCUGGAUAUCUGAUCCGGUUCCUCGUCCCCCACCCCCCAGGUGAGGUCUGACCAUCCUGCUGCCUUCAGCAAGAAUCCUGUCAAAUUGGUUUACCCGGAACCGCCCCCAGGUUUCCUCUCAGUACUUUCCACGCCCCGCACCCACUGCUCCUUGGCUGUCAGCCCCGCUGCCCCUGCUGUAUUCAGGGUCCAGCCCCAGCUCUCGCCCGCUGCAGCGGGCCCUGCACCCACUGUGACAGCCCCAGCCUCCCCCGAGUGAGCCUCACUGGGCUGGAACAAGUGUUGCUGGAUUCUCCUCUUUAAGGCUGGUUCCCCUGAGGACAGGUUCCUGGGCACCAGGGCCCAGUGAGAACGUGUCAGCCCCGUGGGCUCUGAAAACAAGAAGAAAGGAGGGGGCUGAGCGGAGGAGCUGGGUGGGGAGGGGUCCGGGUCUGCGCUGUGAGGGGAAGGGCCCCCACACUCUGCCUGCGGCCCUACGAGGUGGGGGAGAUUCGGGAAAUGAAACUCCAUGGGGCCCAAGCACAUCUAAACCCCCUGGUAGACCCCGUGGGCCCAUCACAGGGACAGUCAACGGUCCCAAGGGAUUCAGCCACGGGAGAAGGACGCCCCGUUGGAGGCAGCCUGGCAGGAGCUGAGGACGUCAGUCUCCAAAAUGGAACCCAACCUUGCAGUGGGCGGCAGCCCCGGGCACAAGGAAAGGAGCCACGUGUGGUUCUGGGUGGAGUGGACGAGAGGAGCUGCAUGCGACCCCGGGCGGAGCUGAGGAGAAGAGCAGCAUGCAGACAAGGGUGAGGCCCUGUGCAGCCCAGGCUCUCAGGCUCCAGCUGCUCUGCAGGGGCCCAGACCUUCCCAGGUCCUGGAGGCAGCACAGCCCGGUGCCCUGAGGUGGACAGAGCCAUGGCCUGUGGGACGAGCACGCCCGCAGUCCCUCAGGGCCAAGAGGCCGCCUGGGUAGAGGUGCUCAGGCUCUCCUCCCUCCUCCUUGGCCUCCCACACCUCCUCACACAGGGGAGUGGGAAAGUUGUUACCGCGCCAGGUUCGUUUUUGCCUGCCACCCAGCUGCAAAGCCAAACACCCAGAGGAGGAGAUUGCAGCAGAGAGAGAGUUUACUCAC